UCUGAUGUUAGCGGCGGACGGGUGAGUAACACGUGGAUAACCUACCUAUAAGACUGGGAUAACUUCGGGAAACCGGAGCUAAUACCGGAUAAUAUUUUGAACCGCAUGGUUCAAAAGUGAAAGACGGUCUUGCUGUCACUUAUAGAUGGAUCCGCGCUGCAUUAGCUAGUUGGUAAGGUAACGGCUUACCAAGGCAACGAUGCAUAGCCGACCUGAGAGGGUGAUCGGCCACACUGGAACUGAGACACGGUCCAGACUCCUACGGGAGGCAGCAGUAGGGAAUCUUCCGCAAUGGGCGAAAGCCUGACGGAGCAACGCCGCGUGAGUGAUGAAGGUCUUCGGAUCGUAAAACUCUGUUAUUAGGGAAGAACAUAUGUGUAAGUAACUGUGCACAUCUUGACGGUACCUAAUCAGAAAGCCACGGCUAACUACGUGCCAGCAGCCGCGGUAAUACGUAGGUGGCAAGCGUUAUCCGGAAUUAUUGGGCGUAAAGCGCGCGUAGGCGGUUUUUUAAGUCUGAUGUGAAAGCCCACGGCUCAACCGUGGAGGGUCAUUGGAAACUGGAAAACUUGAGUGCAGAAGAGGAAAGUGGAAUUCCAUGUGUAGCGGUGAAAUGCGCAGAGAUAUGGAGGAACACCAGUGGCGAAGGCGACUU
RNAcentral lists this ribosomal RNA (655 nucleotides) under Aeromonas veronii. RNAcentral's name for it is "bacterial SSU rRNA". It matches the Rfam family "Bacterial small subunit ribosomal RNA", at positions 85 to 727 of the family's 1533-position model. Lineage: Bacteria; Pseudomonadati; Pseudomonadota; Gammaproteobacteria; Aeromonadales; Aeromonadaceae. The record is from RNAcentral.